GCAGAGAGCUGAGAUGGGUCAGAGUUCAAGAGGGUAGAGAUGGAAGCAACAGUGUUAUAAGGAGGUUGGGAUCUGAAGGUGAGGUAAGCCUGGCAAGUCCUGUUUAGGCCAUUGCAGGAGUAUCCAAGAACGGAAUCUCCUGUAUUGGAACAAUUUGUUGUGGCUUUUCCCUCAUAAAGCUGCUGGGCAUGAAUCAAAGGACAGAAAACAAGAACAGACAGAAUAAAAAGGGGGACAACAGAAGAGAAUAUCAUUUUAAAUUGGGAAGAUAAGAUCUAAUGUUGU
This 285-nucleotide unclassified non-coding RNA is filed under the name Hevea brasiliensis (rubber tree). The record is from RNAcentral. Lineage: Eukaryota; Viridiplantae; Streptophyta; Magnoliopsida; Malpighiales; Euphorbiaceae.